RNAcentral lists this ribosomal RNA (505 nucleotides) under uncultured bacterium. Its description in RNAcentral is "partial 16S ribosomal RNA". It matches the Rfam family "Bacterial small subunit ribosomal RNA", at positions 28 to 507 of the family's 1533-position model. The record is from RNAcentral.
GACGAACGCUGGCGGCGUGCCUAAUACAUGCAAGUAGAACGCACAGUUUAUACCGUAGCUUGCUACACCAUAGACUGUGAGUUGCGAACGGGUGAGUAACGCGUAGGUAACCUGCCUGGUAGCGGGGGAUAACUAUUGGAAACGAUAGCUAAUACCGCAUAAUAUUAAUUAUUGCAUGAUAAUUAAUUGAAAGGUGCAAUUGCACCACUACCAGAUGGACCUGCGUUGUAUUAGCUAGUAGGUGAGGUAACGGCUCACCUAGGCGACGAUACAUAGCCGACCUGAGAGGGUGAUCGGCCACACUGGGACUGAGACACGGCCCAGACUCCUACGGGAGGCAGCAGUAGGGAAUCUUCGGAAAUGGACGAAAGUCUGACCGAGCAACGCCGCGUGAGUGAAGAAGGUUUUCGGAUCGUAAAGCUCUGUUGUAAGAGAAGAACGGGUGUGAGAGUGGAAAGUUCACACUGUGACGGUAUCUUACCAGAAAGGGACGGCUAACUACGUG